This 341-nucleotide unclassified non-coding RNA is filed under the name soil metagenome. Its description in RNAcentral is "partial contains 5.8S ribosomal RNA, internal transcribed spacer 2, and large subunit ribosomal RNA". The stretch from base 1 to 120 matches the Rfam family "5.8S ribosomal RNA", at positions 35 to 154 of the family's 154-position model. The record is from RNAcentral.
GAUGAAGAACGCAGCGAAAUGCGAUAAGUAGUGUGAAUUGCAGAAUUCAGUGAAUCAUCGAAUCUUUGAACGCACAUUGCGCCCUUUGGUAUUCCAAAGGGCAUGCCUGUUCGAGCGUCAUUUGUACCCUCAAGCUUUGCUUGGUGUUGGGCGUCUUGUCUCUAGCUUUGCUGGAGACUCGCCUUAAAGUAAUUGGCAGCCGGCCUACUGGUUUCGGAGCGCAGCACAAGUCGCACUCUCUAUCAGCAAAGGUCUAGCAUCCAUUAAGCCUUUUUUUCAAUUUUUGACCUCGGAUCAGGUAGGGAUACCCGCUGAACUUAAGCAUAUCAAUAAGCGGAGGA